This is a long non-coding RNA of Mauremys reevesii (Reeves's turtle), 4487 nucleotides long. RefSeq lists it as uncharacterized. The transcript is spliced from 6 exons. Lineage: Eukaryota; Metazoa; Chordata; Testudines; Geoemydidae. The record is from RefSeq and is a predicted model, not a curated record.
UAAUAAGGGCCUCCCCCAAGCCCUGUUGAGUCAGUGGAAAGACGCCCACUGGCUUCCUGGCUAGUAAGCACACAGCAGGGUGUUCUGGAAAGGAGCACCCUUAGUAACGGGAGGCCAAGGCUCACUACUGAACACUGAGUCCAGUUCAGAGUUGCCUUCCUGAUUUCCAAUCCCACGGUGGAAUUUCUCCUGCUUAACUAUUCAUCUCUGCUGCAGCUAUUUCUGCUCAAGUGAACAGUGCUGGCUGGGGAUCGUCUUGUGUAUUUCUGCAGUGGUUAAAUGAGCACACUACUGGUCAUUUCAGCUGGAAAAUAGAAGACUAUAUGAUAGAAUUGUUACUGUGCCACCAAAGACACAUUUAUCAAAAAAAGAAGCAGUGCUGCUAGUACUAGUCACAUCAUUAGAAAGCAGGAGCAUAGUAAGAGAGCAAACAUCAGUAGAAACCAGAGUCUGAAAAUUGCAUACCAGAAAAUCCCUGGCUGGACUGCAAGUGGCACAACAAAGAAGUGGGAUUCAAAAAACAGUUAAUUCCUCCACACAAGUGGAACUUUAUUUGAUGGGAAAGAAAAAUAUAAUAACUAAGGAAGAGAGACUCUGCCGUCCCAAGAAUGGAUGGACUGCCACACCAUAUCAUCUGUCACCCCAGGCACAUGUUUGCUCCGCUGGUGCCUGGAGCCGACCCUGUAUGCUGUCUUCAGUCAAGAAGGAGGAGCUAAGCAGAGGGAAUGCCUUGUUCUGACCAUCCAUUGCAGAAGCACUGAGACAUUGGUGAGGACAGCACACAGCAUCGUCCAAGGGAUUGUGGAGGAGGAGAGGAAAGGAGGGCAGGAAUGUUGAAGGAAAGUGACUGAAAGGCAAAGUGGGACCAGAUGGAAUGCUGAUACCUGUGUGUUUACAGAGUAAGGAAAGAGUUGGGGUGAGAGCAAAUGAGGGGAAAUAGGGUAAGUGUAAAUGCAGAGACAGGGGAAAUAGGGUAAGUGUAAAUGUGGGGUACAGGGGGAAGUAUCUCAAAGUUUGGAAUUUAUUUCCCUGAAAUUGACUUUUUUUUCUAUACAGAAAUGUGGCUUCUCCCCUAGGCAGGAGGGUGCCGUGGUUACAAAUGUUUAAGGUUUUUCGUUAGUUGACAUUAUAUAGGUUAGGGGAAUAACUUUAAAAUUGCAGUGAUGUCAUAUCUUGUUGUUCAGUGGAAAGACAAGAAAAGGUUACUGUGGUUAUUUGUGGUUAUACCUACUGGUGAAUUUUUCGGGGAAUUUGAAGUAGCCUUAUAUUUUUAAGUGCCUCGUUGUGGUUAGUGUGAUAUUGGUGUUAGUGACAGUCCUUAUUGCAAUAGGCUGAAACAACAUAUAUACUUAAGAGCUCAGGAAGGACUUGAAAAUGGGAUUCCAACAUUUUUUUAAAGAUACUGCUUUACAUGCAAAACUCUACCUCUCUGGAAGCCUAGCUUCAGAAUGAUCCGUCCCAUUAUCAUAAAGCUGGACAGCUUUAAAUACAAAAUGCUGAUUUUGAAAAGCUUGUAUCAGUAGCCUUUUGUUUUAUAAACUAUUAAACCAGUGUGCAGAAGGCUGUCACUGACCAUUUGUUCCACUGGUUGCUGAAUGAAGAAUUGAAUAGUAGGCAUUUAAUUUACCUAUAGUAGAGAGAGUAAAGAUGGAAAAGUCUAGAGUAUUGUUGCAGAGGUAGAGAACAAGAUGCUUCGGUUAUGAACAGCUUGUGCCUCAGUGAGGUCUGUUUAUGGUGUGUGGACAAACGGACUGAAAGAAGAGACUGAUGCUUAAUGAAAUCAUCAAAGCUAUUAUAAAAGACUAAAAUACCUCUAAAUUGUUUAUAUCAAUCCAGCUCAGGGUGCUAGUGAAAAAAUGCUAACAUCUGAUGGCUGUUCUACCUAUGUGAAAUGAGUUUGAUAGUGUCAGUCCAGUGCUCGAUGGACAAGUGUCCCCAUCACAAGAUGGGCUACCAUAAGUUGUUGGCAAUGGAAUGGCUAGCCAUGGUAUGGCUAUGUAAACUGAACUACCCACUAACCAAUAGAGUAGUUCAUCCAGGUAAGUACUGAGCUAGAAGGGCAGGGAGAAGCUUACACAGGUGGAACAGAGACACCGCCAGUACAUUUGAUUGAGAAAUUCAGCCUGCAGCACUGACAAUCCAGAACCCUCUCCCCCCCCCCCCCAUAUGGGUCAUGGAGGCUUGAAGUAAGAGCAAUUAAGCAAGGACUUUAAAAAAAGAAAGAAAAAAGACAGCAAUAACAUUGCCAAAUUUGUCAAAAGAGAUGGAACUUUUUAAAAAGUGAAUUGAUGAAAUGUGCCAGAUAGCUCUAGAGACUGAAGUCCUCUGACUAAAAGUCAGGUAUAGCUCAGACAGUGGCAGUGAGUGUUUAUUCUGCCCCACCAAUGUGCUUCCUCCUUUACCCAGCUGAGUGAUGUAGCUAUAAUACUGCAGUUGGGACACACCUAGUUUCAACUGUCACAUAGAGUGCAUUUUCCCUUCCAAAAUAACUCAGAAGGUCAAAACAAUACCUAACAGAAGAUCAUUUUUUUUCUGCAAGAAUGAUCCUGUACUUUGUACUUGACACUUUAAAAUAAAGGUUAAAUUGUGCCAAAUAUAUUGGGAGAGAAGAUGUCAGGGCUCAAAAUGGAAGGUCAUCCUAUCACCAUUUAUCAAGCCCACAGCCCGAGUGCCAAAUAGCCCACUUAAACAUCAGUACAGAGGUGGAAGGAAGUGUUGCUCUAAGGAUCCACACUUGGAAGAGUUCAGUUUAGCAGGAAAAAUGAGUAGCUGAUAGGGGUAAGUUAAAGUAACUGCCUAUGCAGACCCAAAUCCAGCCUUGUGUAACUUCACUGAUUUCAUGAAUUGGACCCAAACACUAUAACUUGCAGCUUCUUUGGAUCUCUCAACAUAAAGUGUAACCAGAUCAGACUGCCUUACAUCUUCCUCCUGAUGUGUUAAUUGUACCAUCUUAUAUAUCAACUCUGAAUUUGGCACUGAGAGUUUUGGAAGCAGAGGUCUUUCGUGUACGAUAAAUAUAUAGAUGUAAAGUCAGGAGCCACAUGUGUCAUCCUUCACCCACUUCAUGAGACUCCUUGUAACUGUUUCAGGAUAUCCCUUGACCCUCAAUGAUGGUGUUUCAUAUCCUUUUUUGCCCUUAAAAUACACAUCAUCUUUAUUAUUUUUCACAAAACAGGUGAAUUCUCAUCCCCUUUCUCACAACACUUUGUUCUGAAGAAAUCAUGAACAGAGACUUUUAUAGAACUCUCAAGAUACCACACUCAACAGUGAUUUAACUUCUCCUACUCUAGCCUUCCUGCCCCACAGUCCUUAUCUAGAUGUACUCAUUAGCAAAACCUAUUAAAAGCAACCAAAUUAAUACACUUUUAAUAAGAGGAUGUUGGUUAGUGACAGCAACACUGGGAGUCUGUCAGGUGGUCAGAUAUUAUUAAAAUAUUUACCAAAAGAAAAGGAAACUGCAAAAUAAAGAACAGGAUACAGGACUAAGAUCAGCCUUGUUCAGGAUUCUAAGAUAUUGUGGUUGGAAACACCUUGCAAACUUUAAGGAUGUGUAGUCACUUUUCCUCUGCUACUUUUCCCCAGUAUUUAUCUUGAAAUUCAAGUAAUGUCUUGAACAUCUGAUCACUCCGUCCCUUCCACUAACUGCUCACACUACAACAGAUUUUAAGGUCUAUUUUUGAGCCUGCAACACUUGCACGUCUCUCCAAUGAAAGGAGUUUAUACAAUUAAAAAUAAUAUCUUGUAUGUAUGUAAAUCAAAAGUUGUAUUGAACUUACUUUUCUCCUCCUAAGAUUUUCAUUCUGAAAGCCAAACUAGAGUGGCUGUUUCCUGAGCCAUUAUGAGAAUGUUUUAAAACUGUACGACCAAAAUAAUGUGUCCUAAGCAAAUAUGCCAAUGUUAUUGAUAUAUAUGGUAAAUUUUCUUUAUUUAAUAAUCAUGGAAUAAAGUUAGUUCAUCCAGGAUGAGACAUCCUCCCACAAAAAAUUCAUAAAAUAUAAUUCCAAUUAUUUUAAGUUCAAAAUAAUGAUAUUCAAAAGUAUGCCCCCAAAUUAGAAUUCCUCUUUUAAAAUUAUUUUUUUCCUCUGAAUUUCAGAAAUAUCUCUAUCCCCAUUCCCAUUUAGAUAAUGAAAGUUUACCUGCAUUUCAUUUGACAAAACUGGUCUGACUGGACCUCAUCUGUAUUAGGAACUGUAGUAUUUUGAAAAUUACUUUUGCAAUGCUGUCCAUAAGCUAAAACCAAUCAGAAUCAGGACCUCUUGUUUAUCAGUUUUAAUUAAGACAUUUCCUAAAAUUGAUUCCGUUAAAAGGGGAACUACAUUAUGGCUUCAUGUUCUCCAAGAAUGUAUCCACCUGGCUGUUGGAGAAUAACAAUGCAAAUCACAAGAAGUGAGGAGUUAGGACAGGAUCAAACAAAGAACUUUUUUUUACACUGACAUUUCAGCAGAUGACCCUCUUCUUGCUCACGCUUGCUCUCCCAAAUGCUAGAA